UCCCUAGAAGCUCAGAUGGUAAAGCAUCCGCCUGCAAUGCAGGAGACCUGGGUUCAACCCCUGGGUGGGGAA
RNAcentral lists this transfer RNA (72 nucleotides) under Ovis aries (sheep). It matches the Rfam family "tRNA". Rfam says of the family: Transfer RNA (tRNA) molecules are approximately 80 nucleotides in length. Lineage: Eukaryota; Metazoa; Chordata; Mammalia; Artiodactyla; Bovidae. The record is from Rfam by way of RNAcentral.